This 274-nucleotide ribosomal RNA is filed under the name uncultured bacterium. RNAcentral's name for it is "partial 16S ribosomal RNA". It matches the Rfam family "Bacterial small subunit ribosomal RNA", at positions 523 to 796 of the family's 1533-position model. The record is from RNAcentral.
CUACGGAGGGGACUAGCGUUGUUCGGAAUUACUGGGCGUAAAGAGUUCGUAGGCGGACUGAUAAGUAAGAGGUAAAAUCCCAGGGCUCAACUCUGGUACUGCCUUUUAAACUGUCAGUCUAGAGACCGGAAGAGGUUAGGGGAAUACCUAGUGUAGAGGUGAAAUUCGUAGAUAUUAGGUGGAACACCAGUGGCGAAGGCGCCUAACUGGUCCGGUACUGACGCUGAGGAACGAAAGCGUGGGGAGCAAACAGGAUUAGAUACCCUAGUAGUCC